CCCAGGUCGUAUAAAAAGUUCUGAAACCCUAACUCCUCCCGAAUCCCCUCCAGCGCCGCUCCCACCUUCUACUCUCUCCACGAUCCCCUCCCCUCCCACCUCGCCGAGCCUCGAUCUGGCCGGAUCUUGCCAAUCCACACACGGAUCUGGCCUAACAAUUCCGCAGCUGCGGCGGCGGGCCACCAGGACGGCGGCGGGAACCACCAACCCAUCUUGAGAUCUCAACGGCGGCGGGUACCAAGAACCGAUGUUGCACCAACCGCGCGCGUCACAAGGAGGGCGAGUGUGGUUGCUGCCGGAGUAGUGAACGCUGCGCUUGGCGCUGGACCAGCGGGGGAUGGGUGGGCCGUGAGGCUUCAUUGGGUCGUUUCCAACUGCCCCGGCAUCGGCGGCGAUGAGUUGGUGCGCCAGCAGACAUGACCGUCCGCGCGCAAGGACCCCAUGAAUCCCGUGUACGCGGCCAAGGUGACCACGCCACUCGCAGCUCCAUCUGGGCUAUCCUCACUGUCAUCGUCGCUUUCGGCCGGUCUCUUUCUUUUCUUUUUGAACACUAUCGAUUGAUGAAGUUGUUUGCCCAAAUUGAUGUCUGAAUGUGCCAAAUCUGCUGCUCUAUAGGUGCCAGCAUCGAUGACAUAAUUUAUCAAUAGUGGGUUCAGUAGUAACUCAAAUCUGUUUCUCUGAAUGUGCCAGCGUGUGAUGGAAUUUAUCAUUGGUGAGUUUGGUAGUAACUCUAAUCUGCUGCUAUGUUGUUUUCAGCCUGGAUAUUCUGCAAUCCAGAAGAACUGGCUACUCAGAAGUGGAUGACAGUGAACAGGAGAAGCUAUGGUUUCUUGAUUUGUUGUUAUGUGUAUGUGUUGUCAUGAAGCAUAGUGGUUCUGGCUUUGUGUAAAAUCAUUAUAAGUAUAGUACCUCUUUAGAGGAGUUUAACGCUGAACUAUGUAUGUGAUUCAUGUACCUGAAGUAUCCACUAUGAUGCCUAUUGCUGAAAACAAUAUAACUAUUUAUUGAUAA
Long non-coding RNA from Triticum aestivum (bread wheat), 1011 nucleotides. RefSeq lists it as uncharacterized. The record is from RefSeq and is a predicted model, not a curated record. Lineage: Eukaryota; Viridiplantae; Streptophyta; Magnoliopsida; Poales; Poaceae. The transcript is spliced from 2 exons.